AAAUCUGGCACUAAGUGCAAGAGUUUGCUUUCCUAGACUAGAGAGAUCUGGGUCUGUCACCCCUGAAAGGGUCUGAGCCCCCUUCAUGGGAGGCCCAUCCAGACCCUGGCCCUGCCUGCAUUAAUGAGUCCCAGUCCUAUUCAUUUCAAAGUGGUGGAUCCCACAUGCAGUACCAGAUGCCAGCACUCUGGAGAGAUCCAGAGAUACUCAGCACAUUCAGAUUGAUUGAGAUCAUCACUUAGGACAUUUUGGAUGAUGGAAAGCCCGUGUCUCUGUCACCGCUGGAGUCCCAGGCACACAGCCCCAGGUACACGGCCUCCAGCCAGCGGGAGCGCGAGAGCCUGGAGGUGCGCAUGCGCGAGGUGGAGGAGGAGAACCGCGCCCUCCGCAGGCAGCUCAGCCUGGCCCAGGGCCGAGCCCCAUCCCAUCGCCGAGGCAACCACUCCAAGACCUACUCCAUGGAGGAGGGCACUGGAGACAGCGAGAACCUUCGGGCUGGCAUCGUGGCAGGCAACAGCUCCGAGUGUGGGCAGCAGCCGGUCGUGGAGA
Molecule: long non-coding RNA, 549 nt
Filed under: Homo sapiens (human)
Lineage: Eukaryota; Metazoa; Chordata; Mammalia; Primates; Hominidae
Description: non-protein coding lnc-SYN3-8:1
Source: RNAcentral